Molecule: long non-coding RNA, 1508 nt
Organism: Mya arenaria
Lineage: Eukaryota; Metazoa; Mollusca; Bivalvia; Myida; Myidae
Exons: 6
Source: RefSeq, a predicted model, not a curated record
UGCCAAAAGACCUGUCAUGUGCAAUCCUUACAAAUGCAUCAGUGGAUGUACGUGAUUUAAAAGGCAUCAACGAAGCUUUCGGUUAUGCAAACCUUGUUUAUUAAAGACCUAUGAACACAGGUAAAUAAAAUUCGAACCCUGGAUAUGCAGAUUCCAAACACACGUUCCUCAACGCCCAAUCUACUGUCAAAUCCGUACCGUCAAAUCAUGGAUCCAUCCCUGCUCUAGGACUGGAUUAGGCUGCGGGCUAGAUCUACAGCCAUGGCCAGUUAAAAUUGAAAUUAUGAGGAUGGUUCCCUACUUGAAUUUCACAAACCUUUCACUGAGAUGCAGACCGGCAUGCAAGACGAAAGUCAACAAACGCAACAAGAUGCGACAAGAAGAGAGGAAGUGUAGCAGAGGACAGAACAACUGAUAAAGGAGGUUUCAAAUAUGAAGGGGAUGCGGCACACGAUGGACCUUAUGUGAGUUGAGAUUGCAGGAUGAGGGCAGAAGUCAGGUCACUUAAAGUGGCGUACAAUAUGUGUUUGGCACCUUCAACUGGGAUAGCGGGGCGGAGCAGGAUGCAGAUUCUGCAUGCAGAAGAGUUCCUGCUUCUGCUGCUGCACACAGCAUGACUAUAGCUACCACUGCACGCAGAAUAGCACAAUACACCAGAGGCCUCCACUGCGCACAGUAAAGCAUCUGCCCACAGCACUACAGCAACUGCCUGCAGCCCUACAACAACUACCAACAGCACUAGAGCAACUGCCUGCAGCACUAGAGCAACUGCCUGCAGCACAACAGCAACUGCGCUUAGCACUACAGCAACUGCCUGUUACAUUACAGCAACUGCCCGCAGCACUGCAGCAACUGUCCGCAACAUUACAGCAACUGUCCGCAACAUAACAGCAACUGCCUGUAGCACUACAGCAACUGUCCGCAACAUUACAGCAACUGUCCGCAACAUUACAGCAACUGCCUGCAGCACUACAGCAACUGCCCGCAACAUUACAGCAACUGCCCGCAGCACUACAGCAAAUGCCCGCAACAUAACAGCAACUGCCCGCAGCGCUACAGCAACUGCCCGCAGCACUACAUUAGCUGCCGUGCAAACAGUCUAGAUUGGGGCCGCUUGCUGUCAGGAAAGAGUCGGCAUUUCUCCCGAAAUCGUUCGUUGUGGCGUUGAUAAAGAAUGAAGGCGACAGGAAAGCUCACUGUGGUGCAGUUUGCUACCUCCGAGCAAGGGAUGUUUUCUAUUAAUGAACGUUGUUUAGUGCAUCUCGAUAUAUUCAGUCGAAAACUAAACAUAUAGCAAUGAUCACUUAUUACCAUUGGUAGCACUUAUAUCAUAGGAAAUUUAACAUUGUUGGAAUAACAGUAUCGCGAUAUAUUGCCAUUUGUCCUUAAUGUAUCGCUAAAAAAUAAACAAACGACGAAUUCGUAAUAAUUUAUAUAUGGUCUUUUUAUGUAUAAUCAUACAACUUUUGUCCAUUUUCUUUUAUGUUUUAUAAUGGAUAAUUAAAAGU